GAAUUCAAGGUGAGGCUACAAAGAUUCAAAUCCAGGUGGACAGAAACUGACAAAAAUCUUUGGAUAAAUCCCACUUGACUGAAACUCAAAACUUUCAUCAUCGUUCUCACUUUAAAGCCUCCAGCUACCAACUCCUAAUGCUUUUACUUGGCAAUCACAGACUAGAAAUGGCUACACAGAUUAACACAAGAAGACACACCAUGGGAGGGACCUGUGUGUACAGAAACCCUCCUUGCCCCCAAGAGGGGAAAUGAGAUUUUGAGGAGGUUUCUGUACAUCAUUCUUCCGUCACAGACUUGGAUUUGGCAUAGAACAUGCACUAGAACUGGUUAUUUGAGUGGAAAAUGUGAUCCUGGCUGUGCAUGGACUUCAUGAACUCUUCACCAGGAAGCAGCCAGCCCAGAAGAGAUAAGUACUUUGAAUAAAGCUCCACCAUCCUCUGGAAGCAGGAAGACCUUGGUCUCCCAUCUGUUCCACUUAGCGUUGUCCUUUUCCCUUUGCUGGUUUUAACUUUCUCAGUUUUAUAAAGUCCACAAUUUUCCUCAGCCUGCACAAUUAUUAGCAAGUGCCAUGUCCCUCAGAGUGCAGUGCCAAAAGACAGCUGUUUCCAGCGCAGUUCCUACCAGAGUGGCCAGGGAGUGGUUAUGUUGUUCUGCUGAUCAGCCUGCACCUUCACAAGCUUGACCAACACUGGCUUUGUCUUUGUGCCAUAGAGCUGAUCUUUAAUGUACCUCCAGCUACUAAAAAUGGCCAUAAUACCCAGUAUAAUAAAUAAAUAUAAAAAUAUAAUAAAACUAGAACUGCAUAUUGUGAAGAAAAAAUAGAGUUGAUUGGGAGUAUGGAGAGUGUAGUGCUGUCCACCCACCCUGUAGAGACUGGAAAGAGACGUUUAUUGGAAGGAGGUUUCCAGAGUCUGGAAAGAAUGUUCACUGUCAUGUGUUUAACUUUCAUUUGAUUCCUGCCCUAUGCAAUUAGCUGUCAAAAGUAGUAUUCAGAUAUCUUAUCUGCUAUUAUGGUUCAGCAUAUUUUGUUCACUUGAAAUAAACCAGAUGCAAUUUAUUUA
Long non-coding RNA from Pezoporus flaviventris, 1063 nucleotides. RefSeq lists it as uncharacterized. NCBI's taxonomy places the organism in Eukaryota, Metazoa, Chordata, Aves, Psittaciformes, Psittacidae. The transcript has 2 exons. The record is from RefSeq and is a predicted model, not a curated record.